UGGGGAAUAUUGGACAAUGGGCGCAAGCCUGAUCCAGCCAUGCCGCGUGAGUGACGAAGGCCUUAGGGUUGUAAAGCUCUUUUGGCGGGGAAGAUAAUGACGGUACCCGCAGAAUAAGCUCCGGCUAACUUCGUGCCAGCAGCCGCGGUAAUACGAAGGGAGCUAGCGUUGUUCGGAAUCACUGGGCGUAAAGCGCACGUAGGUGGAUAGUUAAGUGAGGGGUGAAAGCCCGAGGCUCAACCUCGGAAUUGCCUCUCAUACUGGCUGUCUCGAGUCCGAGAGAGGUGGGUGGAAUUCCUAGUGUAGAGGUGAAAUUCGUAGAUAUUAGGAAGAACACCGGUGGCGAAGGCGGCCCACUGGCUCGGUACUGACACUGAGGUGCGAAAGCGUGGGGAGCAAACAGGAUUAGAUACCCCCGUAGUCCCCUGAGCGGGCUGGCAAGGCGCAU
RNAcentral lists this ribosomal RNA (448 nucleotides) under uncultured bacterium. Its description in RNAcentral is "bacterial SSU rRNA". It matches the Rfam family "Bacterial small subunit ribosomal RNA", at positions 355 to 825 of the family's 1533-position model. The record is from RNAcentral.